Nitrospira sp. SG-bin2 is the source of this 426-nucleotide non-coding RNA. The record is from Rfam. NCBI's taxonomy places the organism in Bacteria, Pseudomonadati, Nitrospirota, Nitrospiria, Nitrospirales, Nitrospiraceae.
UGUGAAGGCUGGGUGAUCGCUCGAUGCUUCGGCAUCGGGAGGAAAGUCCGGACUCCAUGGGCAGGGCGCUGGGUAACUCCCAGGCGGAGCAAUCCGACACCAGCACCACAGAAAUCAAACCGCCGAUGGCCGACGCGACGGGAUCCCAUCUGGUCGCCGAGGCUCAGGUAAGGGUGAAACGGCGGGGUAAGAGCCCACCGCGGUGGUGGCAACAUCACCGGCAUGGUAAGCGUCGCCCGGUGCAAGGCCAAAUAGGAAGACAUCUGUAAGACGCCUCGCGUGUCUUGCACACCGACUGGCCCGGUCGAGGUCUUCGGGUAGGCCGCUUGAGGUUCGAGGCGACUCGAAUCCCAGAGAAAUGAUCAUCCAAGCGAGGAGGGCAACUUCUUCGCAGGACAGAAUCCGGCUUAUAGGCUUUCACAUCUG